CCUACGGGAGGCAGCAGUAGGGAAUCUUCCGCAAUGGACGAAAGUCUGACGGAGCAACGCCGCGUGAACGAUGAAGGCCUUCGGGUCGUAAAGUUCUGUUGUUAGGGAAGAACAAGUGCUAGUUGAAUAAGCUGGCACCUUGACGGUACCUAACCAGAAAGCCACGGCUAACUACGUGCCAGCAGCCGCGGUAAUACGUAGGUGGCAAGCGUUGUCCGGAAUUAUUGGGCGUAAAGCGCGCGCAGGCGGUUUCUUAAGUCUGAUGUGAAAGCCCCCGGCUCAACCGGGGAGGUCAUUGGAAACUGGGAAACUUGAGUGCAGAAGAGGAAAGUGGAAUUCCAAGUGUAGCGGUGAAAUGCGUAGAGAUUUGGAGGAACACCAGUGGCGAAGGCGACUUUCUGGUCUGUAACUGACGCUGAGGCGCGAAAGCGUGGGGAGCAAACAGGAUUAGGAUACCCUGGUAGUCCACGCUGUAAACGAUGAGUGCUAAGUGUUAGAGGGUUUCCGCCUUUAGUGCUGAGUUAACGCAUUAAGCACUCCGCCUGGGGAUACGGUCGCAAGACUGAAACUCAAAGGAUUGACGGCUGAGACGCCGAAGGCACACAGGGGUANAGG
Molecule: ribosomal RNA, 615 nt
Filed under: uncultured bacterium
Lineage: Bacteria
Description: bacterial SSU rRNA
Rfam family: Bacterial small subunit ribosomal RNA
Source: RNAcentral